Gorilla gorilla gorilla (western lowland gorilla) is the source of this 531-nucleotide long non-coding RNA. RefSeq lists it as uncharacterized. The transcript is spliced from 3 exons. Lineage: Eukaryota; Metazoa; Chordata; Mammalia; Primates; Hominidae. The record is from RefSeq and is a predicted model, not a curated record.
UCUCAAUACUGUUGCUUCGGGGAUUCCGUUUCUACAUUAAUUAUGGAGGGGAUACAAACAUUCAAGCCACAGCAGAUUAGAAGAACCUAAAUAAUAUAUGCAAAACCAUGCAUUUGCCAAACAGCACACCUGUGAUUGAAGGAAUCUGCUCAUAAAUCAUGAAGCUGUAAUAUUUUAAGGCAGCUUUUAUGAGCUGUAACACUCACUGCGAAGAUCUGCAGCUUCACUCCUGAGCGCAGCGAGACCAUGAACCCACCGGGAGGAACGAACAACUCCAGACGUCCUACCUUAAGAGCUGUAACACUCACCGCGAAGGUCUGCAGCUUCACUCCUGAGCCAGCAAGACCACGAACCCACCAAAAGGAAGAAACUCCGAACACAUCUGAACAUCAGAAGGGACAGACUCCAGAUGCGCCACCUUAAGAGCUGUAACACUCACCGCGAGGGUCCGCGGCUUCAUUGUUGAAGUCAGUGAGACCAAGAACCCAUCAAUUCCGGACACAACAGCCCAUAUGUAUAUAUUAAAGUAUG